UUUUCUUACAAUUAAUUUGUAAGCACGUGAUAUACAUAUUAUCGCUUUAGAAGUGGUCUGUCGGCCACUUCCUCAAAUUUUAUCGGCCAUGAAAAAUGGCAAAAGUUUAAAAACAAAACCAAAUUUGAAAUGGGGAAACCCUAUUAAUUGACAUUGACAACAAUAUUUUCUUUCAUUAAGAUGGGGUUUUUUUUGUGUUUUUACUUGAAAAUAUUUUGACCUUCGCGGUGGGAUGGAAAUGCUAUUAAAGAGCGUGCGAGCGUAAAUCUAUAAUCAGUGAGAAAAACGUUUCCACUUUGCAAACAGUUUCUUAAAAGUGACAAAAAAUGUUGACUCGGUUUAUAUUUUCGUCAGCUCUGAUUUUUCUGGCGGUAAACGCCGCGUCGAAUUCCACAUCGGAAAAGGGUGAUAUUUGCCUGUUGGGACCAUUGACGACAAAGGGAAAACAGUGCCUGGCGUACUUUGAAAUGUUUACGUUCAAUGCGAUAAAAGGCAGGUGCGAGUUGUAUGUCUAUGGAGGAUGCCACGCCUCCAAAAACCUAUUCAAGAGGCCUAUUGAUUGCAAAAACGCCUGCCAACACCUCUUUAAACCUCCGGUUGAUAUCUGCAUGCUAGGGCCCAUGAAGGAGGUUUCUCAAACUUGCAAAGCUAUAGUUCCGAUGUUUACGUUCAACCCGGCCACCGCCAAAUGCGAGAAAUACUCCUAUGGAGGAUGCGACGGUUCUGAGAAUCUAUUUGACACACAGGAAGCGUGUAAAAGUGCCUGCAAACACCUCCACGUCUUGCGGGGAAAUAUAUUAUAAUUUGUGUAUUGAUCAAUCCCAACCAUAGAUGUACCUUUGAUAAGAAUAAAAUUUAUAAAAUAGAGAUCAGUUUCUCUCAAACCUUCAAAAGCACUGAUUAUUAUUCGAUACCUUGUCCUGAGGGUUUUAUAAAAUAUCAGGGUAAGUCUUGAGCGAAGGAAUAUUCAGGCUAUUCGGCAACAGACCGAGGUAGCCUUAACCUGCAGAACCCGCAAGAAAGACCAGGUCAGGCUGGCUUACAAGGCACUCCCUAUCCCCUAGCAGGUGCUAAGUCAGUCCCGAAUAAACCUCGGUACACCCGGAGGACAUUCCAAUCCUCGGUUUGAU
Molecule: long non-coding RNA, 1130 nt
Organism: Neocloeon triangulifer
Lineage: Eukaryota; Metazoa; Arthropoda; Insecta; Ephemeroptera; Baetidae
Exons: 3
Source: RefSeq, a predicted model, not a curated record